Molecule: long non-coding RNA, 43274 nt
Filed under: Triticum aestivum (bread wheat)
Lineage: Eukaryota; Viridiplantae; Streptophyta; Magnoliopsida; Poales; Poaceae
Description: long non-coding RNA (TAES_LNC017288)
Source: RNAcentral
UUUUUUUUUUAUUUUUGCUUCUGUUUAGGAAUAAAUCUUUCAUCUAGCCUCUGGUUAGAUGUCUUUUUAUGUUUUAAUUAGUGUUUGUGCCAAGUUAAACCUAUAGGAUCUUCUUGGAUGAUAGUUAUUUGAUCUUGCUGAAAAUUCCAGAAACUUUCUGUUCACGAAAGUAAUUGUUAAAAAUCACCUUAACGUGAUAAAAUAUUGAAUCCAAUUGCUUCUGAUCAAUAAACAAAUUUUCUAGAUCUUCCUAUUUUGGCUGAAUUUUUGGAGUUCCAGAAGUUUGCGUUAGUUACAGAUUACUACAGACUGUUCUGUUUUUGACAGAUUCUGUUUUUGUUGUGUUGUCUGCUUAUUUUGAUGAACCUAUGGCUAGUAAAAUAGUUUAUAAACCAUAGAGAAGUUAGAAUACACUAGGUUUAACACCAAUAUAAAUAGAUAAUGAGUUCAUUACAGUACCUUGAAGUGGUCUUUUGUUUUCUUUCGCUAACGGAGCUCACGAGAUUUUCUGGUAAGUUUUGUGUUGUGAAGUUUUCAAGUUUUGGGUUAAAGAUUUGAUGGAUUAUGGAACAAGGAGUGGCAAGAGCCUAAGCUUGGGGAUGCCCAUGGCACCCCAAGAUAAUCUAAGGACACCUAAAAGCCAAAGCUUGGGGAUGCCCCGGAAGGCAUCCCCUCUUUUGUCUACUUCCAUCGGUAACUUUACUUGGAGCUAUAUUUUUAUUCACCACAUGAUAUGUGUUUUGCUUGGAGCGUCUUGUAUGAUUUGAGUCUUUGCUUUUUAGUUUAUCACAAUCAUCCUUGCUGUACACACCUUUUGAGAGAGACACACAUGAUUCGGAAACUAUUAGAAUAUUCUAUGUGCUUCACUUAUAUCUUUUGAGUUAUAUAGUUUUUGCUCUAGUACUUCACUUAUAUCUUUUAGAGCACGGUGGUGGUUUUGUUUUAUAGAAACUAUUAUUCUCUCAUGCUUCACUUAUGUUAUUUUGAGAGUCUUAAAUAGCAUGGUAAUUUACUUAAAUAAUCCUAAUAUGCUAGGUAUUCAAUACUAGUAAAAACUUUCUUAUGAGUGUGUUGAAUACUAAGAGAAGUUUGAUGCUUGAUGAUUGUUUUGAGACAUGGAGUUAGUGAUAUCAAAGUUGUGCUAGUUGAGUAGUUGUGAAUUUGAGAAAUACUUGUGUUGAAGUUUGCAAGUCCCAUAGCAUGCACGUAUGGUAAACAUUAUGUAACUAAUUUGAAACAUGAGGUGUUCUUUGAUUGUCCUCCGUAUGAGUGGCGGUCGGGGACGAGCGAUGGUCUUUUCCUACCAAUCUAUCCCCGUAGGAGCAUGCUCGUAGUGCUUGGUUUUUGAUGACUUGUAGAUUUUUGCAAUAAGUAUGUGAGUUCUUUAUGACUAAUGUUGAGCCCAUGGAUUAUACGCACUCUCACCUUUCCAUCAUUGCUAGCCUCUUCGGUACCGUGCAUUGCCCUUUCUCACAUUGAGAGAUGGUGCAGACUUCGCCGGUGCAUCCAAAGCCCGUGAUAUGAUACGCUCUUUCACACAUAAACCUCCUUAUAUCUUCCUCAAAACAGCCACCAUACCUACCUAUUAUGGCAUUUCCAUAGCCAUUCCGAGAUAUAUUGCCGUGCAACUUUCCACCGUUCCGUUUAUCAUGACAUGUUCAUCAUUGUCAUAUUGCAUUGCAUGAUCAUGUAGUUGACAUAGUAUUUGUGGCAAAGCCACCAUUCAUAAUUCUUUCAUACAUGUCACUCUUGGUUCAUUGCAUAUCCCGGUACACCGCCGGAGGCAUUCAUAUAGAGUCAUACUUUGUUCUAAGUAUCGAGUUGUAAUCAUUGAGUUGUAAAUAAAUAGAAGUGUGAUGAUCAUCAUUUUCUAGAGCAUUGUCCCAAGUGAGGAAAAAAAGAGAAAGACCCAAAAAAAUGAGAGAAAAAGAGAGAAGGGACAAUGUUACUAUCCUUUUACCACACUUGUGCUUCAAAGUAGCGCCAUAAUCUUCAUGAUAGAGAGUCCUUUGUUUUGUCACUUUCAUAUACUACUAGGAACCUUUCAUUAUAGAACUUGGCUUGUAUAUUCCGACAAUGGGCUUCGUCAAAUGCCCUAGGUCUUCGUGAGCAAGCAAGUUGGAUGCACACGCACUUAGUUUCUUUUGUUGAGCUUUCAUAUAUUUAUAGCUCUAGUGCAUCCGUUGCAUGGCAAUCCCUACUCCUUGCAUUAACAUCAAUUGAUGGGCAUCUCCAUAGCUCAUUGAUUAGCCUCGUUGAUGUGAGACUUUCUCCUUUUUUGUCUUCUCCACAUAACCCCCAUCAUUAUAUUCUAUUCCACCCAUAGUGCUAUAUCCAUGGCUCAAGCUCAUGUAUUGCGUGAAGGUUGAAAAAGUUUGAGAUUACUAAAGUAUGAAACAAUUGCUUGGCUUGUCAUCGGGGUUGUGCAUGAUGAGAGCAUUCUUGUGUGACGAAAAUGGAGCACGACUAAACUAUAUGAUUUUGUAGGGAUGAACUUUCUUUGGCCAUGUUAUUUUGACUAAACCCCUUGAACUUGUCGAAAACCUUUUGCAAAAAGUCGAGGUUUGUAGACAGUAACAUUACCGUCAGCGUCAGUCUUCUUCUUGAAGAUCCUUUUAUUCUCUAUGGCUUGCCGAUCAUCGGGCAAGUCAACCAAAGUCCACACUUUGUUCUCAUACAUGGAUCCCAUCUCAAAUUUCAUGGCCUCCAGCCAUUUUGCGGAAUCUGGGCUCACCGUCGCUUCUUCAUAGUUUGUAGGUUCGCCUUGGUCAAGCAACAUGACCUCCAGAACAGGAUUACUGUACCACUCUGGUGCGGAUCUUACUCUGGUUGACCUACGAGGUUCAGUAGUAACUUGAUCUGAAGUUACAUGAUCAUCAUCAUUAGCUUCCUCACUAAUUGGUGUAGGAGUCACAGGAACAGAUUUCUAUGAUGAACUACUUUCCAAUAAGGGAGCAGGUACAGUUACCUCAUCAAGUUCUACUUUCCUCCCACUCACUUCUUUCGAGAGAAACUCCUUCUCUAGAAAGGAUCCAUUCUUAGCAACGAAUGUCUUGCCUUCGGAUCUGUGAUAGAAGGUGUACCCAACAGUUUCCUUUGGGUAUCCUAUGAAGACACAUUUCUCCGAUUUGGGUUCGAGCUUAUCAGGUUGAAGCUUUUUCACAUAAGCAUCGCAGCCCCAAACUUUAAGAAAUGACAACUUUGGUUUCUUGCCAAAUCACAUUUCAUAAGGCGUCAUCUCAACGGAUUUUGAUGGUGCCCUAUUUAACGUGAAUGCAGCCGUCUCUAAAGCAUAACCCCAAAAUGAUAGCGGUAAAUCGGUAAGAGACAUCAUAUAUCGCACCAUAUCUAGUAAAGUACGAUUACGACGUUCGGACACACCAUUACGUUGUGGUGUUCCGGGUGGCGUGAGUUGCGAAACUAUUCCGCCUUGUUCAAAUGUAGACCAAACUCGUAACUCAAAUAUUUUCCUCCACGAUCAGAUCGUAGAAACUUUAUUUUCUUGUUAUGAUGAUUUUCCACUUCACUCUGAAAUUCUUUGAACUUUUCAAAUGUUUCAGACUUAUGUUUCAUUAAGUAGAUAUACCCAUAUCUGCUCAAAUCAUCUGUGAAGGUGAGAAAAUAACGAUACCAGCCAGGAGCCUCAAUAUUCAUCGGACCACAUACAUUAGUAUGUAUGAUUUCCAACAAAUCUGUUGCUCGCUCCAUUGUUCCGGAGAAUGACGUUUUAGUCAUCUUGCCCAUGAGGCAUGGUUCGCAAGUACCAAGUGAUUCAUAAUCAAAUGAUUCCAAAAGUCCAUCGGUAUGGAGUUUCUUCAUGCGCUUUACACCAAUAUGACCCAAACUGCAGUGCCACAAAUAAGUUGCACUAUCAUUAUCAACUCUGCAUCUUUUGGCUUCAACAUUAUGAAUAUGUGUAUCACUACUAUUGAGAUUCAUCACAAAUAGACCACUCUUCAAGGGUGCAUGACCAUAAAAGAUAUUACUCAUAUAAAUAGAACAACCAUUAUUCUCUGAUUUAAAUGAAUAACCGCCUCGCAUAAAACAAGAUCCAGAUAUAAUGUUCAUGCUUAACGCUGGCACCAAAUAACAAUUAUUUAGGUCUAAAACUAAUCCCGAAGGUAGAUGUAGAGGUAGCGUGCCGACGGCGAUCACAUCGACUUUGGAACCAUUUCCCACGCGCAUCGUCACCUUGUCCUUAGCCAGUCUUCGCUUAAUCCGUAGUCCCUGUUUCGAGUUGCAAAUAUUAGAAAUAGAACCAGUAUCAAAUACCCACGUGCUACUGCGAGCUCUAGUAAGGUACACAUCAAUAACAUGUAUAUCACAUAUACCUUUGUUCACCUUGCCAUCCUUCUUAUCCGCCAAAUACUUGGGGCAGUUCCGCUUCCAGUGACCAGUCUGUUUGCAGUAGAAGCACUCAGUCUCAGGCUUAGGUCCAGACUUGGGUUUCUUCUCUUGAGCAGCAACUUGUUUGCCGUUCUUCUUGAAGUUCCCCUUCUUCUUCCCUUUACCCUUUUUCUUGAAACUGGCGGUCUUGUUGACCAUCAACACUUGAUGCUCCUUCUUGAUUUCUACCUCUGCAGCCUUUAGCAUUGCGAAGAGCUCAGGAAUUGUCAUAUCCAUCCCUUGCAUAUUAUGGUUCAUCACGAAGCUCUUGUAGCUUGGUGGUAGUGAUUGAAGAAUUCUGUCAAUGACACUAUCAUCCGGAAGAUUAACUCCCAGUUGAAUCAAGUGAUUGUUAUACCCAGACAUUUUGAGUAUAUGUUCACUGACAGAACUAUUCUCCUCCAUCUUGCAGCUGUAGAACUUAUUGGAGACUUCAUAUCUCUCAAUCCGGGCAUUUGCUUGAAAUAUUAGCUUCAACUCCUGGAACAUCUCAUAUUCUCCAUGACGUUCAAAACGUCGUUGAAGCCCCGGUUCUAAGCCGUAAAGCAUGGCACACUGAAUUAUCGAGUAGUCAUCAGCUUUGCUCUGCCAGACGUUCUUAACGUCGUCAGUUGCAUCUGCAGCAGGCCUGGCACCCAGCGGUGCUUCCAGGACGUAAUUCUUCUGUGCAGCAAUGAGGAUAAUCCUCAAGUUACGGACCCAGUCCGUGUAAUUGCUACCAUCAUCUUUCAACUUUUCUUUCUCAAGGAACGCAUUAAAAUUCAAUGGAACAACAGUACGGGCCAUCUAUCUACAAUAACAUAGACAAGCAAAAUACUAUCAGGUACUAAGUUCAUGAUAAAUUUAAGUUCAAUUAAUCAUAUUACUUAAGAACUCCCACUUAGAUAGACAUCCCUCUAAUCAUCUAAGUGAUCGCGUGAUCCAUAUCAACUAAACCAUAACCGAUCAUCACAUGAAAUGGAGUAGUUUUCAAUGAUGAACAUCACUAUGUUGAUCAUAUCUACUAUAUGAUUCACGCUCGACCUUUCGGUUUCAGUGUUCCGAGGCCAUAUCUGCAUAUGCUAGGCUCGUCAAGUUUAACCCGAGUAUUCUGCGUGUGUAAAACUGUCUUACACCCGCUGUAGAUGAACGCCGAGCUUAUCACACCCGAUCAUCACGUAGUGUCUCGGCACGACGAACUUUGGCAACGGUGCAUACUCAGGGAGAACACUUUUACCUUGAAAUUUAGUGAGAGAUCAUCUUAUAAUGCUACCGCCAAACAAAACAGAAUAAGAUGCAUAAAUGAUAAACAUCACAUGCAAUCAAUAUCAGUGAUAUGAUAUGGCCAUCAUCAUCUUGUGCCUUUGAUCUCCAUCUCCAAAGCACUGCCAUGAUCACCAUCGUCACCGGCGCGACACCUUGAUCUCCAUCGUAGCAUCGUUGUCGUCUCGCCAACUAUUGCUUCUACGACUAUCGCUACCGCUUAGUGAUAAAGUAAAGCAAUUACAGGGCGAUUGCAUUGCAUACAAUAAAGUGACAACCAUAUGGCUCCUGCCAGUUGUCGAUAACUUCGUUACAAAACAUGAUCAUCUCAUACAAUAAAUAUAGCAUCAUGUCUUGACCAUAUCAUAUCACAACAUGCCCUGUAAAAACAAGUUAGACGUCCUCUACUUUGUUGUUGCAAGUUUUACGUGGCUGCUACGGACUGAGCAAGAACCGUUCUUACCUACGCAUCAAAAACACAACGAUAGUUCGUCAAGUUAGUGAUGUUUUAACCUUCUCAAGGACCGGGCGUAGCCACACUCGGUUCAACUAAAGUUGGAGAAACUGACACCCGCUAGUCACCUGUGUGCAAAGCACGUCGGUAGAACCAGUCUCGCGUAAGCGUACGCGUAAUGUCGGCCCGGGCCGCUUCAUCCAACAAUACCGCCGAAUGAAAGUAUGACAUGCUGGUAAGCAGUAUGACUUGUAUCGCCCACAACUCACUUGUGUUCUACUCGUGCAUAUUACAUCUACGCAUAAACCUGGCUUGGAUGCCACUGUUGGGGAACGUAGUAAUUUUAAAAAAAUUCCUACGCACACACAGGAUCAUGGUGAUGCAUAGCAACAAGAGGGGAGAGUGUGUCCACGUAUCCUCGUAGACCGAAAGCGGAAGCUUUAGCACAAUGCCGUUGAUGUAGUCGUACGUCUUCACGAUCCGACCGAUCCAAGUACCGAACGCACGGCACCUCCGAGUUCAGCACACGUUCAACUCGAUGAUGUCCCGCGAGCUCCCAUCUAGCAAAGCUUCGUCGGAGAGUUUCGUCAGCACGGCGUGAUGAUGGUGAUGAUGAUGCUACCGACGCAGGGCUUCGCCUAAGCACCACUACGAUAUGAUCGAGGUGGAUUAUGGUGGAGGUGGGCACCGCACACGGCUGGGAGAGAUCAACAGAUCAACUUGUGUGUCUAGAGGUGCCCGCCUGCCCCCGUAUAUAAAGGAGCAAGCGGGGAGGCCGGCCGGCCCCCUGUAGGCGCGCCAGGAGGAGGAGUCCUCCUCCUAGUAGGAGUAGGACUCCCCUCUUUCCUACUCCGACUAGGAGGGGAAAAGGAAGGGGGAGAGGGAGAAGGAAAGGGGGGCGCUGCCCCCCCCCUCUCCUAGUCCAAUUCGGACCAGAGGGGGAGGGGCGCGCGGCCUGCCCUAGGCCAGCCUUCUCUCUCUCCACUAAGGCCCAUAAGGCCCACUAUUUCUCCCGGGGGGGGGGGGUCCGGUAACCGUCCGGCACUCCGGUUUUCUCCAAAACCACCCGGAACACUUCCGGUGUCCGAAUAUAGUCGUCCAAUAUAUUGAUCUUUACGUCUCGACCAUUUCAAGACUCCUUGUCAUGUCCGUGAUCAUAUCCGGGACUCCGAACUACCUUCGGUACAUCAAAACACAAAAACUCAUAAUAUCGAUCGUCACCGAACUUUAAGCGUGCGGACCUACGGGUUCGAGAAUUAUGUAGACAUGACCGAGACACAUCUCCGUUCAAUAACCAAUAGCGGAACCUGGAUGCUCAUAUUGGCUCCCACAUAUUCUACGAAGAUCUUUAUCGGUCAAACCGCAUAACAAUAUACGUUGUUCCCUUUGUCAUCGGUAUGUUACUUGUCCGAGAUUCGAUCGUCGGUAUCUCAAUACCUAGCUCAAUCUCGUUACCGGCAAGUCUCUUUACUCGUUACAUAAUGCAUCAUCCCGCAACUAACUCAUUAGUCACAUUGCUUGCAAGGCUUUAUGAUGUGCAUUACCGAGAGGGCCCAGAGAUACCUCUCCGACAAUCGGAAUAAGAAAUCCUAAUCUCGAUCUAUGCCAACUCAACAAGUACCAUCGGAGACACCUGUAGAGCACCUUUAUAAUCACCCAGUUACGUUGUGACGUUUGGUAGCACACAAAGUGUUCCUCCGGUAAUCGGGAGUUGCAUAAUCACAUAGUCAUAGGAACAUGUAUAAGUCAUGAAGAAAGCAAUAGCAGUAAACUAAACGAUCAAGUGCUAAGCUAACGGAAUGGGUCAAGUCAAUCACAUCAUUCUCCUAAUGAUGUGAUCCCGUUAAUCAAAUGACAACUCAUGUCUAUGGUUAGGAAACUUAACCAUCUUUGAUUAAUGAGCUAGUCAAGUAGAGGCAUACUAGUGACACUAUGUUUGUCUAUGUAUUCACACAUGUAUUAUGUUUCUGGUUAAUAUAAUUCUAGCAUGAAUAAUAAACAUUUAUCAUGAUAUGAGGAAAUAAAUAAUAACUUUAUUAUUGCCUCUAGGGCAUAUUUCCUUCAUGGUCGCCAUAGUAGGAGGUGGUUCCCCUCCUUGCGGUGGUGGCUCCGGUCUCAGUAGUGACGUGGCUCAGCAAAAGGGUGACGAGGGUGAUGCUACGUGCGAAAGCCCUAUGUCGGCCUCGGUCGGCAUCGGCGGUAGCGGCGCACUGCAGCGUCGGAUCGCUCCCUAGAGGUGCCGUUGUGUGAUGCACUGGUUCCUUCGCCUACUCUGUUCGUUCUCCGGGUGAAAGCCUUAGAUCCAGCCCCUGGAUCGGACGGCAGCGGCGUCCACGACGUCGUUACCACCUCGGUGGUGCCUGUCUUCGGAGACGUUGCUCCAUGUUGCUUGCCUGAGGUUUGGGUGGUGUUUGGCUGGCUUGAGGUUGGUGGUCAGUGGUGGUGGUGCGGCUGGUGGUGUGUUUGUGCGGCCGGCUGGGGUCGACGGUGGUGUGUGAUGUGGUGGUGGUGGCGCGGCCGGCUUGCGCUGGUGUGCACGGUGAACCGAUUCGGGUGUAGACUCGGCUCCUUGAUGCCCUUCGGCUUCGCUGGCGGUGCCGCUGUUGUGAUGUAGCAUCGGCUGCGGGUGGCUCUUCGUCCGGGUGUGGACUCGGUCUCUCGUUGCCCUUCGGCUGCACCAAUAGCCUUGAGGCACCAUGGAUGGUCUCGGUUGAUUGGAGCUCUUCAUCUACGGUAGUGGUUUUCUCGUGCGGCUCAGUUGGUAAUGGCUGCUCAAGACCCUCUCAUGGUUGCCAUUGUGUUGUGGCGAGCUUCGUGCUCUUGGUGUUGUCUCAGUUCAUCUUUGCUCAAGGUCGGCGCAAGAUGCCUCUCAAACUUACUAUCGUUCCGUUUUCCUGUGGCGGAGCCCUAGUCAAGGUUUGUGUCUGGGAUGACACUCAUUGAUUGUGGAUGCUCCUGAGUUGUGUCAUGGGGGCCGGUAUGCUUGCCGAUGCGUUCGGCUGUUUGCAAAGUCUUGGUAUUGUGAUCUCCCGACGACACCCCACAUCUACUUGCGUCUCUCGUGGUGAUGGUCUUAUGUCUACUAGCUUGGUCGUGCCUUGUAUGGUUUUCGGCCCAGUUUUCCUUAAAAUGGGUCAAUUUUGUAAGGUUUUCGAUUCGGUUUUCCUUAUAAACUGCAUCACUCCUCUGGCAUAUUUGGCCACUUUGAGUAAUAUAUUCAGGUGGAGGAACUCCUCCCCCGGUGAUUCUCAAAAAAAAAAAACAUUGUCUCUUCUUGGGUGCAGAGAAUUCAUUACAAGGAACCAUAGUGGAAUUAAUCUCCUAAAAAGAGUGAGCAUCACUUAAUUCUGUCAUGGCAAGGCUAUUGACCGAUGCUGUGAAAUCAAAAGAACAAGCUGAAUCACAAUUGUUGUAAGGAAGAACCUGAAAGAUUAGCAAUUUUGAUACAAAAAUUUACCUGAGAUGGCUGGUACACUACACGGAUUGGUCUUUCCUGCCAAGAAUGGCGAGGGUGAGUUCGCGCUAGUUUCCUCCAUUUAGAAGAACAAUUGCCUUCUCUUCUCUGCUUUCCUAGCAAAAAUUUAAAUGGAGGCACAUAUCACAAACUGGAUACAGUCCGAAGGAAGUGCAGGCUACUGUGCUAAAAGGAGUGCUUCUGAAACUGAAGCAGCCCUAUAGUGACAAUUUUGAUUCCAAUAUGUACUGAAAAUUAGCAUCCACUAAAUUGAUUGCAUUGCAAAUUAUAAGCACCACAAUCAGAUGGAAAUCUCUUGAUUACAGUACAUGGUAGCAAGGACCAAAAUUGGAGCCGACUCAAGAAAAAAAAUCCAGUGCAAGCACGUUCUAAUGUGGGAUGGUUAGGACAUACAGUACUAGUUUUCUGUGGGAAAAAAAUGCACUUACUACUAACCUGCCUCCCUUUAGAUUAAUGAACAGUAGAUGUUGUGGCACCGAGAAGUCUCCACUGCCGUUGCUACUCCCCCAAUAUCACCACCAGAACAAGCAUGGAAUGGUGUUGUAUACCCGGUACUUCUCGGCAGUAGACAGGGAGAUAUGUGGGGAAGCAAUUUCCUGGUUAGGGUUAAGAACUGACUCGAACAAGGCCGCCGCAGUCCGCGGUAGGGGACUUCGUGGUUCAGAGGGGAGGUGGGAAAGAUCUGGGAGGAAAAGGCCACCGCCGUCGACGAGGGUAUUUUGUGGCUCGGAGUGUGGGCGGGGAAGUGCUGGCUGGCAGCGGCAGUCUGCAGGGCAUGGCCGACGGCGCCGCCGCCGCCGCCGAGAUUGGAUUCGAGAACGGAAAAGAGCUGGCCUGAAUGGGAGUUUUCUUUGAAGUACAAAAUGUACAGGGCCUAAAUGCAAAAUGUACUGUAAAAGAGGCUGGAAUCCCACCUCACCGUAUCUGUACCAUGCAUCCAACAUCCAAUGGUCCAGGAUGUUGGAUCGCACGAUCACAGCUCAAGUACUGAUCCUAUANNNNNNNNNNNNNNNNNNNNNNNNNNNNNNNNNNNNNNNNNNNNNNNNNNNNNNNNNNNNNNNNNNNNNNNNNNNNNNNNNNNNNNNNNNNNNNNNNNNNNNNNNNNNNNNNNNNNNNNNNNNNNNNNNNNNNNNNNNNNNNNNNNNNNNNNNNNNNNNNNNNNNNNNNNNNNNNNNNNNNNNNNNNNNNNNNNNNNNNNNNNNNNNNNNNNNNNNNNNNNNNNNNNNNNNNNNNNNNNNNNNNNNNNNNNNNNNNNNNNNNNNNNNNNNNNNNNNNNNNNNNNNNNNNNNNNNNNNNNNNNNNNNNNNNNNNNNNNNNNNNNNNNNNNNNNNNNNNNNNNNNNNNNNNNNNNNNNNNNNNNNNNNNNNNNNNNNNNNNNNNNNNNNNNNNAAAAACUUACUGUUGUGGCUGAUGCAGCCGCGCACCCGCCAAAACGCUUGCACACAGCGUGAGGGCUGCACAAUGUUCGCUCGGAGUUUCUUUCUACACAACGAACAUUCUCGGUAUGGUUUUUCAGCGCGAUUUAAUGCCUACCAUCGGAUUUGGCCCGUCGACGUUGCGCAUACCGAGAACGUUCGUUGUGUAGAAUUUUUGUUUUUCAUAUUAAAAACACGUUCAAAUAAGGUCAUUUCCAAUUUCCAAGCCGUCGCGCCAAGUUCCAUUUGCUGAUUUGCGAUCGUUAUCAAACUGUUUAUACACAACAAGAAGAAAUCAAGGGGGAAAAAAACUGGUGGAAUCAAUGGAAGUCUAGAAGCUAGUAUUAUCACGCACGCGUCACGCUCGGCUCACGAAGGCCUCGCUCCCGACCUUGAUGGCACCAAAACCACCGCCGCGAGCGGCCAGUCCGCCCACCGCCGCGCCGCGACUCGUCUGCUCUGGCCGUUUCAGCGCGCAGGCGCCGAACUCGCACGGCCCGUCCUCGGCGAUGGUGACCAUCGCCGGGCGCUUCCUCCGCGCCGGGACGGCCGCCGGUGCCUGGCUAAGGUGGACCUUCUUCUUCGCUGCCCCGACGUCCGCCGGCUCGGGCGCGACGCGGCGCUGUUUCGACGCGGCGCGGUCCGAGCUCGCCCGCAGGUGCAUGGUCGUGGCCGGCCCGCCGAAGCCGCCGGGGCCGCGGCCACCCACGACCGCCCCCGCUGGCAUGCGGGCGCGCGCAUCCGGACAUGCAGCUCACGUAGAGGUCGCACGCUCUGGACAGCGCGCGCAUCGGCGCGCCGAGGCAGAAGAAGCACCCGCUGGUUUUCCCGCCACCCUUCUUCAUCCUUCUGCCUGCGUGCCGGAGCUGCGUUGGCUUCUUGCAGAGAAACACAAGAUCGAGCGCUGUAGAUUGCCUGCCUUUAAACUCGAUGGCUGGCUGCGUUGUGAGAGUGUACAAUGGCACCUCGAUCACCUCGUGAUAUAUAUAUAUAUAUAUACGCUUCCAUUAAUUCCGUCGACGUUGCCCGUUCCGUCCGCGUGAACUGCCGCUUGGUGUUGACGUUUUUGCGUUCACGUUCAUAUCCGUGGGGUCGGCAGGUUUCUGUGCCGGCGGAUAAGAGGGAAAUGGUCAGAAUCGGCAAUAAUUUUGAUGGAUUCGCAGGAAUUUGUCCACGGGUUUGGAGGAUAGGGUCGAGCUACAAGUUGAUCGGCUGGCCAACUCUCACGCGCUGCUUCUGUUGAUCCAGUGAAUCAUCAUUGCGUACGUGCAUGUUAGCCGUUUUUUGCGUGUCUGUUGCAAUUCUACCGGCAAAUAUAUCCUUAUUUAGUACUAGUACUCCAAUAAAACUUUUCUACCGUUGCUUGUUUCAGCGCACGUAUACCAUAAGACAGCAACCUCUACUGUUUCGAUUGUCUGCUAGUAAACCAUGUCUCCUGUCCUGAGGGAAGCUACCAUCUCUUUUCCUUUUGUUUUUAAAUUAAAAUAUCUGAUUGGCCACUUGCCCCUUGAUUUUGGCAUAGAGAGGACCAAAGAGAAAGCACAAGACACGGACACACCACCACCAUUAACAUUUACAUCAUCCUUCCUUAAGCAAAGCAAUUAGGAACGGGAGAUGUGGACUUUGGAGCAGAGGAAUUACUCAUGUUUCUCGGGGUCAACUUUGAAAAUUAACCUUUCCAAAAAAAACAUUGAAAAUUAACCACAUCGCCGCCGUCGAUUUUUCAUCUACUGGACGGAUGCGCACCCGUUUGCGAGCCGAAGCACCAGUCCUCCGAUCCGCCGCCCGCCAGUCCAUAUCCCCUACCGCCUACCGCACGUCACUUGACCAGCCAGCCGCCCCACUCCACCUGCACCCUCCCUCCACUACGGCACGAGCUCCCGGCGAUGUCGUGGCUCGCGCGCUCCAUUGCGGCCACCCUCUCCUCCGUCCCCGACGACGACGAUGACUGAGGCGGAGGGAGAGUAUGGGCCCCAGUCCCCGCGGGUCGCCGGGAUCCGGAACGACCUGGCUGAGAUCGGGGGCAGGGUGAGGAGCGGCAUCUCGAUGCUGUCCAACGCCAACGCCGUGGCGGAGAUCUCCAAGAUCGCUUCGUCCUUCCUGCCUUUCGUGCCUGAGGAAGAGGAGGAGGAGGUGGAUGCGGUGGGCGUGACGGAGGAGGUGGUGGUGUUCGUCUGGCACAUCUCGACCUCUCCCGAGACGUGGCUCGAUUUCCCCCUCUUCGUCAACGACCGCCACGCCGAUGGUAAGACCCAGUUGCUUCAGACUUUUCUGCUCGAGUUUUAUUUGCACUAGACUAUUAUUUAUGUGUACUAUGCACUUGUGUGGUUAUGAGAUGAGAUGUAGGUGCAGCAGAAGACUCUGAAUUCUGAAACUCAGAUUAUUAGAGAGGAAUCAGGUGUUUUAAUCUAUGUCUUUGCAGUUCUGCUCAAACUGUGUUUAUACUGCCUAUGCUGUGGUUAAUAGAAUGGUGUAUUUGCUAAGUGUGCAGACAUGAGGGUGCCAAAUCCACCACAUCAUGUUCAAACUGACUGUUUCUCGUCAUUUUUGAAGGUUUGCCAAAUGCCAAUGAAUUGUGCUGAAUUAAUUAACUAAGGCCCUAUUUGAUUCAUAAGUCCUAGGACUUUUUUUAGUCCCAACUUAUAAGUCCCUACUUGUUUGGUUCCUGGGACUUAACAUAUAUGGACUAAAAGACCAUAUGACAACUAGAAGUCCCUCCUUGAGAGUCCUAUUUCAUAAGUCCCAAAUGCCCACUUUAAGUCCCUACAAGUCCCUCCUGUUUGGUUUAGAUGGGACUUAAAGGGACUUAUUUAAGUCCCUACACCAAUAAGUCCCUGUAACCAAACACCCCCUAAUAUGUUGGCACUCCAUCUGAUUACAUUGGCGGAUAUUAGUUCGACAGAGUGGGUGCCUGAAAUGAGUUACUGUGUCUAGUCUCAACGGGGCUUUAGUUUGAGUUUGUUUGUUUAAGUGAAGUGGUAAUUAGUUGGAAGUAAUUUAAUGACGAAGUUUUGGAGUAUAGAUUGAGGAUUUUAAUACCCAGUAUGCACCUUCUCAUAAAUGCUUAUGAUGAAAAUUUGUCGCUUGCCAUGUAUUAUUAGUAUUGAAUUGUUACAAAGCCACAAUUUCUGCAAAAACAUCAGGAUUAACUAUACCAUUUACUAAUCUACAAGACAUCCCAAAGCCAGAGAUGAAUUAGAAAACAUCAAAACACUCAAGUGACAAAGCUAGAUGCAGACUCAAAGCACAUAUGCCAGCACAACUUAACCUGAUGAUUCACGUAAACGAAUCAAAUAUGGUUGUUAUAAUAAAUUGCUUGCUUGUACCAUUAAAAGUUUUACUUAUUAAGACACACACAUGAAGUCCCUAAAAAUAAAUGAGUUGUGUCAAUUGCCCACGCACCUUUGAUCAAAUAACUCAAAGAAGCACUUGACCUUGACUGCUUUCUAUACUUGGUGGGAGUUAAGCUUGUUUUCAAGGAAUCAAGGUUCCUGAUGAUAUCAGUACAUGUACACAAUAUAAUCGAACCAAGUACAUUUAUCUAGCAAUUUUUGUAGAUUUUAGCUUUUGUACAUAGACUUAUUGCUAAUCUUCCUGUUGUUUAUGAUGUAAUCAUAAUUUUUCCUACUUACCAAACUUGCGGACCAUGGAAUUUUCAUUGACUACUGUACUUCUUUGUACUAACUUGGCGUAGUAAUCAGUCGCAAAUAUGUUUUUAGGUGACCACGAAUACUUAUUACUAUAUGCUUAACAUCAUGCUCUUCUUCUCUUCAUUAUGUGGGAGUUUUCUUGCCAUUCAUGCAUCUUGUUCCAUCAUGUCAGUUGUAUCUUACAUAUCAUGCCUGACUGAUUUGCUCAAUUCCUUCGCUUAUAUCUGCUAUGCUUUUGUGUUCAGAUUUUGAACUGUCAGAUACACAAUAUGAACAUGCAUUGGCUAUAGAGCGUAUAGUACCAAGCUUAUCAUAUCUCAGAACCGAACUUUGUCCGACCAAUAUGAGUGAAGCAUGCUUUUGGAAGAUCUAUUUUGUGCUUCUUCACUCAAAGCUCAACAAGCAAGAUGCUGAACUUCUUUCAACGGCACAAGUAUGCUCCCUUCUCUGUCUUAUUAUUUUUGUUGUGUUUUCCAAACAUUCUUAGUUAAUACAGAUUAUCAUGCCAUCUUGCUGCAAUGCAUGCAAAUCUAUAAAUAGCUUUGUAAACAGAAACAUGUGCCCAUGCAUCUGAUUUUGUUUACCUGUUUCCAAAUGGGGCCUCUCAUUUCCAAAUUUUCAUCGCUUAAGAGUCACUUUUGGGGUUGUAGCUGACUAGCUGUAGUGGUGAAGUCUUUUAUCAGGAAUUCAUCUUUUGAUCCCUUCUAUAUCUGCAAUACGUCAUAUUGCAUGUUCACAAGAAAGAAGACAUCAAUCUGCAUUCUCAUUAAGCAUGAGAUAGUGAAAUUCCCUGAUAUUUCGUUCUAUGCAACUGUAUGGAAUUGGAUCUGGAUUGUUCAUCCAUUGUUGAAUAUGGGAUUGAACAUGCAUGGUCUCGUAAUAUUGCGAGACUUGUCUGAAACGUCUAAGCUGGGAAAUCAGGUCGAUUUAUCUGAGUACUGAGAACGAGCUUCAGAAUAUCUGUAGGACUUAAUAGUGGCCCUUGUUGGCUUUAUGAACAAGGAUGGAGUGUUAAAUCCACUUCCAGCCAAAUAUCAAUUAUGAUAAAUCCACCAUGUACCAUCAUCAUUGGAACAGUCUGGCUAAGUUUAUAUGAUCUCUGUAUGCUAAGUUGAGGAGAUUGUUAAUAUAUGAUCUCUCUUAAAUCUUUAUGCAUAUCCAAGCUCCACAUUGCCUUCUCAUUGCAGAUACAUUAAGUCACUCGUCAUGUUGAAUCUAUCGCCUGAUCAAGUUGAAUAUAACUCCGCGUUGUUAAUUUUUUCAAUAUUCUUGUGGUGGAAACAAUAAGGAUUGCUUAAACUAAGGUCUUCCAAAUGGAAAUAUCAGUGUAAAAUAUAGCGUACUCCCUAGUCCCUAACCAGCAACCUGAACAGCAGGAGGAUAUGUUAUGGGCCGUUAGAAUUUGGAUUGUGAACUAAGAUUAUCUUAUUUUGUCUAGUAUGUUUAUGAUCCAUGGACAAUUGUACUGUCAAUAUAGUUAAAGAAUGGUGUACCAUCAUGCAUGUGGAAUGUUGUGGAUCAUAUUAUGAUGUCAUCGGUACCAUAUAUACUAUCCUGUUGUCAAGAUAACGUAUGCUGCAUACUAAUAUAUCACCCUUGGAAACUUACAUUGACAACACCAGUGAGAAUUGAGAAAUGUCAGACUUUGUAGUAAUGUUGAAAAGGGGUUCUCACGAUGAUCUUUUGCUAAAUAUCACCUUAUUGAGAUAUUUCUUUCAUGCAGAUCCUGGAAGCAAGAGAAGAGUUAUUGCAAAGCUCCCCAAGGAUGAAAAAUGUAGCGCCUGAGGGUCCUAGGGGCUCAUCAGCAAGCAGCAAUGUUCUAUCUACCCAAGCUGAAGAUAGAGAGUUGUCACCCUCAAGCAGCGGGGUACAGUACAGGGUCCUCUACGACUUCAUCAUGGUCUUCAACUCAUAGAAGGUGAGCACCCCGUCUCCGUUGAGAUCGAACCUACGCAUCAUGGCGCGGUACCCGCCGACGUCCCGGCUGGCGCCCGCCUCAGGCUCGUCGGCGUGAUGGCGCGAUGAGAAAGCCCGUGUGCACGCACGGUAUAUGUAGGCGUACAAUACGUGUGCACGGCACAGUUGGCGGUGCCCCUGAACUCAUCGAAGCGCCGUAGUACAAUCAAAGGAAGUAGCAUCCGCCCGCGUCGCCCCGGGCGACACGGGGGAACCCUAGCGCCGCCACCGCCAAGUCCCCCUCGCCCCCUCCCUCGCUUCGCCGCCGCUGGAGGGACCGCCGGCGGAGUCCGCGUGCGCCCCAGGGAAGGUGGCGGUGGGGCGUUUUCCCUCCCCGCGGCGUUGCGCGCGCAUGCGCUGCCUGCGUUGCCUUGGGCGCGGGCGAGAUGCAGGGCCACGGGAGUGGCUUCAGCGCGGGGAGAGGCCGGAUCUUGGCCAGGCUUGGCCGGAUCUAGCUUCUCCGCCCCGGUUGGACGCCCUCGAUGUGGUGCAUGCCGUGUUGACGGACAGUGCUCAUCGACUCCAUGGUGGGGUCGUGGACGCUGAUCUGCGGCGGGUGGCGUUCGACGGCGAGGUGGGGCUCGGUGGCUUCAUGAUGGGGCUGUGAGAUCCGGCGGCCAGCGAGGGCUGGAUCCCGAGGCGGCGGCCCCGGACGGCGGAGGAUGUGUCGGCGGCUGUGGACUCGCGACGGGCGACGCGGCGGCCAUGGUGGUGGAUGAUCCGUGCACAAGACGCUUGAUGGAGGCCAUUGGAACAUAUCUGGGUGAAGACCUGCUCGCGGCUGCUGCCGAGGCCGACGAUGGCGGCACUAUUCGGUGUCGUUCCCUUGUUGAAGGCAUCGCUGUUGAGAAGUUCCAGGCCACUAUCUGCUACCUCCGGGGGAGACCCUAGAUCAGUAGAUCGGAUGACGGCGGCAUUAUUGUGUCGUUUCCCUCUUGUGGCGUCAUUCUUGGAGGUGUACACGGGCUCGAGGGACCAAUGGACGGAAUAUUUGGUGGAGCGGUGAUUCACCCUACACAUUAAUGGUGGCGUAUCUCGGCGGCGUGGCGCAGUGGAGACUCGGCGUCCGAUGUGUGGCGAGGGACUCGCGUAGGAGGGUGGCGUUAUCUGGCGUCGAUGGCAGAGAGGCCAGGCAAGGUGGAUGCAGCAGUACAACACUGAAGAUGGAUUGGUGGCAGGUGGCUGCGGUGGCCUCAUACCUGGCAGGCGUCCUGGUUGAGGAGUGCGCCGGACUGGUAGGUGCCCCAUACCCGGCAGACGUCCUGGUUGGGACCUCAGGUCUUAGAUGUUUAGGUUUUACUGCGAUGUCUGUUUGGUAUUAGGCCCAGGCUAUCAACGCCCCUUCAUCAAUUGGAUAGGAGUAGCGACAGUUGUUGCUUAGACGGUGGCUUUAAUCUUACUGUUGUAUGACUUUGUAAGGUCUUAUGAGAAUAAUUAAUAAAAUGGCCGUAUGCAUCGCCCAGAUGCAGAGGCCGGGGGCCCUCCUCCUUUUCUUAAAAAAAACAAUCAAAGGAAGUUCACCAGGCCAAUAUUGAAGUUCAAUUUUAAGUGGCACGGCGGUUCUAGACAAAUCCAUGGUUCUCGCCUCCAGGUUCUGCUAUAUAUAUUCCGUCAAACAAAUUCACUGGUCCAAAAUUUAACUCGCUCUUGUUGUCACCGUAGGAAUUAGUUGCUGAAGUUAAUCAAACACCAUUCCCAGUUUGCUCGCCCAAACCAAAGAUUCUCAGCUAUAAAUUCUUGCACAGAAGAGCUCCAUCUCAAUCAGCACCCAGUGAACUUGGCCAGAAUUCCUAUCAUUAGCUUCCAGUGAAUGGCUUACAAAGAUUUUGGCUAGCUAGCUUCUGCUGCCGGUGCCAUGCAUGUAUGCACGUGCGCGUGCUGAGUAGUUCAUUCACAUUUCGGUAGACCUGCAAAGAAAUUAAGCGUCCCACUGCGUGUUGCCAAAGAGGGUAUAGCUCCUUGGCGGACGCAACUUCGCGGCAGUUUUCCUUUGUCAUUGCCAUGGGAUGAGACCGUCACAUGCUUGCUCGUUUACAAGCCGAACCGCACCAGGCUCUCCUCCUCACUGUGUGUGUGUGUGUGUGUGCAGCUCACGCUGCGGCUGCUCGACACGUAGUCGGUGUUGGGGAGGCCCCACGCCGAUCCAGUCGCUUUCCUUCCUUCUCUCUCUCGCUGCCUGGCCACUUAAACAGCCCCGGCCGGCCUCCACCACCAGCGUCGUCGUUGUGCUCUGCAAUUGCCGCUCGAGCCCCUUGAGGAAAGAAGCAUACCAAGCGACGAACCUCGCUUGCAUCCGACCAGCGAGUGACGGUGAGUCCCCUCCAUCUCCGGCCACCUUGCUAAUGCUAAUGUGCUUUUCUUCUUCUUCCUUCCUGUUGAAUUAAUAUGGCGACAUGAAAUUAGAGAAGGGGAACUAACCUACGCUGGUGCUGAGCUUGGACAGCCAUGGACGCCGGCAAGACGCCUCAUCCGCUGCCUCUGAGCGCGGCCCAAAAGCAGAUCCGGGAUGAUGUCCCACAGGUCUGCGGAUGGGCGCUCUUCAACGCCUUCGCCAUCGCCGGCGGCCAAGCAUCCCUCUACAUAGCUGGCUACACCCACCUCGCGUGCAACCAGGUAACUAACUACCUGCCCGUGUACUACCCCAUGCUUGACAUUGCGACCGAUUCAUCAUGCGCCAAAGUUGAUAUGGUGUCCUCUGCAGUCAUCAUCCAUUCUGCCCUGCCUCUGGAUCGGGAUGCUGUGCUGCGCCGCAACCCAGUCGGCCGCGGCGGCGCUGGCGCUGCUGCUCCCAUGCCACCGUCGCCGGGCCAUCACCUACCUCGCGCUCGCGGUCACUGUCCUCUUCCAUUGCAUUUACGCCAUCCACUUCCGGAUCUCCCUCGCCGCCUACCCAGGAGGAUACAUCUUCGGCUGGAUCUUUUACACCGUGGUCAUCUGCUACAUGGUGGUGCGCGACCUGACCUGCCUGACCGAUCUCCUUCGAGGUGAUGGUUGGGGCAAGCAGUAGUGCAGUACGCGGUCUAUUAGUUCAGCUAGCUAGCAGCAAGCUGCAAGGGAUCAUGUCCGUGGAUCAGCUCAUGAGGUACUGACGAGAGCCUAGUUCUACUUCUAGGGAAUAAUAUAGAGUAUACAUGCAUUAAUUCCGCUGUGACGAUUGAUGGAGUUGUGCCGUAUUUGCGAAUCUAGUAGCUGGCUGGUGUAGUGUUAAUAUCCAGAUCGACUCCAGUAGUUGGGCAAUGCUUUGCCGGAUAUAUAAUUAGACUGGAUGGAUUGUGGCUAUCUUUGAUGUAUUCGACCUUAAUUUUCUCCAUAUGUGAUCGUCAGACAUGAGUUAUAUGCUUAUUUAGCACCAGCUUCGGUAUAAUUGAUGUUGCUGAAAUUGCUGCUGCAGUGUAUAUCCAUGUUGCUGCUUUGUAUAAUUCGACCUUUUAGUUUCACAGUUUUCCGAACCAAACAACUUCAGAAGGGAAAAUGUGUAGACCCUUUUAAGUUAUUUGCUCGAAAAAAAGAGAGUAAAUACAUGGAGCUAACUUUGCAGUGUAUGUGAGCGCCCCAUUACAAAUACGUGGGAAAUCCCAAAUAUGUAGGCACGAGUGAGUCAACUGACAAGUGUAAUUCCCACAUAAAUACAGUUUAUAUAGAGCUAUUGAUGGAUGACCCCACCGAUGUAUACAUGCAAAUAUGGUUCACCCAUGUAGGCUAAUGGUCUAGACAUAAUUAGCUCCCGUUCUCAUCCGAUGACUCUGAUUCGCUCCAAGGAUCGGAGUAGGUGACCUCUCGGAUGGUCGGGAGGCCAACAUUUUCGUCGUCGUUCGUGAAGUAGAUUGGUUCACCGAUACUGCUUUCCUCGUCGUUCGUGAAGUAGAUUGGUUCUCCAAUACUGCUUUCGUCGUCCGAGAUCGACACGACAUCGACCAGGUUUGUACUGUCGCUGGUGGUGAAGCUGGUGACGAUGCAGUCCUCUGGCGUAUGGCCGAUGAGGCAGUUGCCACAGACAAUCGCGACGAGCUGAGAGGUUUGCGCGGGCCGCUCUGGGCAUAUGAAGCCGGAGCAACCCCGAGCCCCCGUUAUCCGGGGAGAGGGCGCCGCCCACUUGUAAGGUUCCGACGCCCAUGGCGAAAGAAUUUGGGGGCCAGCUUGUAUGGAGGUUGGUGGCGUGGACGUUAAGGCCGUGGGCGACAUCAUGAUCUGUUGGUCUUGGGGCCUCCUCGGGAGGAUGCAUUUGUUGCUGGUGAUCAUGGCAGCUGGACACUAGUAGAAAAACGACCUUACGUGAGACAUAUUAGUCCCGGUUUGAUUUUGGCCUGGUACCAUUACUUCGGUUCGAACGACUAUGCAUUAGUACCGGUUCAUGUUAAAUCUUUAGUACCGGUUCGUGGCGAGAACCGGUACUAAAGGGGUGGUGGCAGGCUGGCGUCAGGCCGGGGCCCCACGAGCCCCUUUAAUGCCGGUUUGUGACUAAAGGUCUACCUUUAGUCCCGGUUUGUGUCACAAACCGACACUAAAGGGGUCUUAACCUAUAGUCCCGAUUGGAGACACAAACCGGAACUAUAGGGCAAUUUUCAAACUCUACCCNNNNNNNNNNNNNNNNNNNNNNNNNNNNNNNNNNNNNNNNNNNNNNNNNNNNNNNNNNNNNNNNNNNNNNNNNNNNNNNNNNNNNNNNNNNNNNNNNNNNNNNNNNNNNNNNNNNNNNNNNNNNNNNNNNNNNNNNNNNNNNNNNNNNNNNNNNNNNNNNNNNNNNNNNNNNNNNNNNNNNNNNNNNNNNNNNNNNNNNNNNNNNNNNNNNNNNNNNNNNNNNNNNNNNNNNNNNNNNNNNNNNNNNNNNNNNNNNAAAAAACAAAAGAAAAUGAGAAAAACUUCAAAAAUUAAAAUUCUUCGAGAUGUAGUUAUGUUACUGCAUCUACUAGUUAGGUAAAUUUAAGAACAUAAGUUUCGACAUGUUUUGCAAAAAAGUGUGAUGAAAAACUAAAACGACUAUAUCUUUUGCAUACGAUGUUGCAAAAAAGUAUAAUAUAUCAAAAUGUUCAGCACGAAAAUCCGCAUCCGAUUUUGACCGCCGUAGGCCGUUUUGCAUAUUUUCAGAAUCCUCAAACUCUAAAAGGAAAAAAAGAUAUGCUCAAAUUUCAGUUUUUUUGAAUUUUGGUUAAAUCUGGUCAAACUGUGGUCAAACUACUUAUUCAAGAAAUAUUAGUGUUACUAAAUAAUUAUUCAAGACUAUUAGUGUUACUAAAUAAUUAUUUUAUUUUUUGUGAGUUUUGGUCAAAUCUGGUCAAACUGUGGUCAAACUAUGGUCAAACUACUUAUUCAAGAAAUAUUAGUGUUACUAAAUAAUUAUUGUUUUUUAAAAUAAUAGUUUCAAACUCAAACGGUGAAACAUGUCACUUCAUGCUCAAGCUAAACUACUGACGCUUAAUAGGAUUUACAACUUACUAUUGUCAGCAAAACAAUAAGUGCAGACUUGGAAACUAGGAGGAAUAAAACUUGGAAGUUAAGAGUGCUCAGGCUAGAGUAGUGCAAGGAUGGGUGACCGGCCGGAAAGUUAGACGAUUUGAAAUGAGUGAUCCACACUUGAGCAGUUAUGAGGGGUGAUUAGAGACUAAAUCGUCAAAUAAUUCAGAAAAUUGAAAAUUGAAAAAAAAAUCAUAAUCAUUUUCUUUUCCAAAAAAAAACCCUUUAGUAUCGGUUGGUGUUACCAACCGGUACUAAAGGUCUCUCAGCCCCCGCCGCUGGCUCGUGCCACGUGGUGGCCCUUUAGUGGCAGUUCGUGUUGAACCGGUACUAAAUCGUCAAAUAAUUCAGAAAAUUGAAAAUCGAAAAAAAAUCAUAAUCAAUUUUUUCCAAAAAAUAAAAAAACAUUUAGUACCGGUUGGUGUUACCAACCGGUACUAAAGGUCGCCCAGCCCCCGCCGCUGGCUCGUGCCACGUGGUGGUCCUUUAGUGGCGGUUCGUGUUGAACCAGUACUAAAGGUGGGGGGCCUUUAGUCCCCACCCUUUAGUGCCGGUUACAGAACCUACACUAAAGGGCCUAACGAACCGGUGCUAUAACUCGGUUCUGCACUAGUGGGGUUCACCUUGGUUGUAGUGUAUGGGUGGGCCGGUGGGAUGACAUUGACCCGGUCUGCUCCGUCGACGAUGAAGGUGAGAGAGCCGAAGAUUAGGCUUUCUCCCGGCUGCCGAGACACAAAGAAGAUCCAAUCUGAGAUCAGUCUAGUCGGCACCACCCGUGCCUGGUGCGCCAACUGACGGUGCAAAACACCGUCAGAUCCCUCGGUAGAGGUCCAAGCGCAGCUGGAAGUCUUAGAUCGGGAGAUCACAAAAGGGUUUUACCUUGGUUCAGGCCUCCGGAGAGUAAUACCCUAUAUCCUGCUUGUUUUGGUUAUUCAUUGUGGAGGGAUACCUCGUGCGAGGGGUUAUAAUGGUGUAUGAGAUUGCUACCGAGGGUUUCUAUGUGAAAAUACAUAAAAAAAUAAGGGUUCCCUAGCCUUCCCUUGUAUAGGUGGUGGAGGCCUAGGGUUGACAGUGGUAGAUGCAAUGUCCUUUGCUGUUGGGGAACGUAGUAAUUUCAAAAAAUUUCCUACGCACACGCAAGAUCAUGGUGAUGCAUAGCAACGAGAGGGGAGAGUGUUGUCCACGUACCCUCGUAGACCGACAGCGGAAACAUUAUCACAACGCGGUUGAUGUAGUCGUACGUCUUCACGAUCCGACCGAUCAAGUACCGAACGCACGGCACCUCCGAAGUUCUACACACGUUCAGCUCGAUGACGUCCCUCGAACUCUGAUCCAGCCAAGUGUUGAGGGAGAGUUUCGUCAGCACGAUGGCGUGGUGACGAUGAUGAUGUUCCACCGACGCAUGGCUUCGCCUAAGCUCCGCGACGGCAUUAUCGAGGUGUAAUCUGGUGGAGGGGGGCACCGCACACGGCUAAAAUAUCGUAUAUCAAAGUGUGUAGAGAGGUGCCCCCCUGCCCCCGUAUAUAAAGGAGCAAGGGAGGAGGAGGCCGGCCCUAGGAGGGGGCGCACCAAGUGUGGAGUCCUACUAGGACUCCCUAGUCCUAGUAGGAUUCCACCUCCCAUAUGGAAUAGGAAAAGAGGAAGGGAAAAAGAGAAGGAAGGAAGGGGGCGACCCCUUCCCUAGUCCAAUUCGGACCAGACCAAGGGGAGGGGUGCGGCCACCCUUGAGGCCCUUUUCCUUCUUUCCCGUAUGGCCCAAUAAGGCCCAAUACGUAUUCCCGUAACUCUCCGGUACUCCGAAAAAUACCCGAAUCAUUCGGAACCUUUCCGAAGUCCGAAUAUAGUCGUCCAAUAUAUCGAUCUUUACGUCUCGACCAUUUCGAGACUCCUCGUCAUGUCCCCGAUCUCAUCCGGGACUCCGAACUCCUUCGGUACAUCAACAUACAUAAACUCAUAAUAAAACUGUCAUCGUAACUUUAAGCGUGCGGACCCUUUGGGUUCGAGAACUAUGUAGACAUGACCGAGACACCUCUCCGGUCAAUAACCAAUAGCGGGACCUAGAUGCCCAUAUUGGCUCCCACAUAUUCUACGAAGAUCUUUAUCGGUCAGACCGCAUAACAACAUACGUUGUUCCCUUUGUCAUCGGUAUGUUACUUGCCCGAGAUUCGAUCGUCGGUAUCUCGAUACCUAGUUCAAUCUCGUUACCGGCAAGUCUCUUUACUCGUUCUGUAAUACAUCAUCCCGCAACUAACUCAUUAGUCACAAUGCUUGCAAGGCUUAUAGUGAUGUGCAUUACCGAGUGGGCCCAGAGAUACCUCUCCGACAAUCGGAGUGACAAAUCCUAAUCUCGAAAUACGCCAACCCAACAAGUACCUUUGGAGACACCUGUAGAGCACCUUUAUAAUCACUCAUUUACGUUGUGACGUUUGGUAGCACACAAAGUGUUCCUCCGGUAAACGGGAGUUGCAUAAUCUCAUAGUCAUAGGAACAUGUAUAAGUCAUGAAGAAAGCAAUAGCAACAUACUAAACGAUCGGGUGCUAAGCUAACGUAAUGGGUCAUGUCAAUCACGUCAUUCUCCUAAUGAGGUGAUCCCGUUAAUCAAAUGACAACUCAUGUCUAUGGCUAGGAAACAUAACCAUCUUUGAUUAACGAGCUAGUCAAGUAGAGGCAUACUAGUGACACUUUGUUUGUCUAUGUAUUCACACAUGUAUUAUGUUUCCGGUUAAUACAAUUCUAGCAUGAAUAAUAAACAUUUAUCAUGAUAUAAGGAAAUAUAUAAUACUUUAUUAUUGCCUCUAAGGCAUAUUUCCUUCAGUCUCCCACUUGCACUAGAGUCAAUAAUCUAGUUCACAUCGCCAUGUGAUUUAACAUCAAUAAUUCACAUCACCAUGUGAUUAACACCCAUAGUUCACAUCUCUAUGUGACCAACACUCAAAGGGUUUACUAGAGUCAAUAAUCUAGUUCACAUCUCUAUGUGAUUAACACCCAAAGAGUACUAAGGUGUGAUCAUGUUUUGAUUGUGAGAUAAUUUUAGUCAACGGGUCUGUCACAUUCAGAUCCGUAAGUAUUUUGUAAAUUUCUAUGUCUACAAUGCUCUGCACGGAGCUACUCUAGCUAAUUGCUCCCACUUUCAAUAUGUAUCUAGACCGAGACUUAGAGUCAUCUAGAUUUAGUGUCAAAACUUGCAUCGACGUAACCCUUUACGACGAACCUUUUGUCACUUCCAUAAUCGAGAAACAUAUCCUUAUCCUUUUCAGGUAUUUCAGGAUGUUCUUGACCGCUAUCCAGUGAUCCACUCCUGGAUUACUUUGGUACCUUCUUGCUAGACUUAUAGCAAGGCAUACAUCAGGUCUGGUACACAGCAUUGCAUACAUGAUAGAGCCUAUGGCUGAAGCAUAGGGGACAUCUUUCAUCUUCUCUCUAUCUUCUGCAGUGGUCGGGCAUUGAGUCUUACUCAACUUCACACCUUGCAACACAGGCAAGAAUCCUUUCUUUGCUUGAUCCAUUUUGAACUUCUUCAAAACUUUGUCAAGGUAUGUGCUUUGUGAAAGUCCAAUUAAGCGUCUUGAUCUAUCUCUAUAGAUCUUGAUGCCCAAUAUAUACGCAGCUUCACCGAGGUCUUUCAUUGAAAAACUCUUAUUCAAGUAUCCCUUUAUGCUAUCCAGAAAUUCUAUAUCAUUUUCAAUCAGUAAUAUGUCAUCCACAUAUAAUAUCAGAAAUGUUACAGAGCUCCCACUCACUUUCUUGUAAAUACAGGCUUCUCCAAAAGUCUGUAUAAAACCAAAUGCUUUGAUCACAUUAUCAAAGCGUUUAUUCCAACUCCGAGAGGCUUGCACCAGUCCAUAAAUGGAUCGCUGGAGCUUGCACACUUUGUUAGCUCCCUUUGGAUCGACAAAACCUUCUGGUUGCAUCAUAUACAACUCUUCUUCCAGAAAUCCAUUCAGGAAUGCAGUUUUGACAUCCAUUUGCCAAAUUUCAUAAUCAUAAAAUGCGGCAAUUGCUAACAUGAUUCGGACAGACUUAAGCAUCGCUACGGGUGAGAAGGUCUCAUCGUAGUCAAUCCCUUGAACUUGUCGAAAACCUUUCGCAACAAGUCGAGCUUUAUAGAUAGUAACAUUACCAUCAGCGUCAGUCUUCUUCUUGAAGAUCCAUUUAUUUUCAAUGGCUUGCCGAUCAUUGGGCAAGUCAACCAAAGUCCAUACUUUGUUCUCAUACAUGGAUCCCAUCUCAGAUUUCAUGGCCUCAAGCCAUUUUGCGGAAUCUGGGCUCACCAUCGCUUCUUCAUAGUUCGUAGGUUCGUCAUGGUCUAGUAACAUAACUUCCAGAACAGGAUUACCGUACCACUCUGGUGCGGAUCUUACUCUGGUUGAUCUACGAGGUUCAGUAAUAACUUGAUCUGAAGUUUCAUGAUCAUCAUCAUUAACUUCCUCACUAAUUGGUGUAGGUGUCUCAGAAACAGGUUUCUGUGAUGAACUACUUUCCAAUAAGGGAGCAGGUAUAGUUACCUCAUCAAGUUCUACUUUCCUCCCACUCACUUCUUUCGAGAGAAACUCCUUCUCUAGAAAGGAUCCAUUUUUAGCAACGAAUGUCUUGCCUUCGGAUCUGUGAUAGAAGGUGUACCCAACUGUCUCCUUUGGGUAUCCUAUGAAGACACAUUUCUCCGAUUUGGGUUUGAGCUUAUCAGGAUGAAACUUUUUCACAUAAGCAUUGCAACCCCAAAAUUUUAAGAAACGACAACUUUGGUUUCUUGCCAAACCACAGUUCAUAAGGCGUCGUCUCAACGGAUUUUGAUGGUGCCCUAUUUAACGUGAAUGUAGCUGUCUCUAAUGCAUAACCCCAAAACGAUAGUGGUAAAUUGGUAAGAGACAUCAUAGAUUGCACUAUAUCCAAUAAAGUAUGGUUAUGACGUUCGGACACACCAUUAUACUGUGGUGUUCCAGGUGGCAUGAGUUUGUGGAACUAUUCCACAUUGUUUUAAUUGAAGGCCAAACUUGUAACUCAAAUAUUUGUCUCUGCGAUCAGAUCGUAGAAACUUUAUUUUCUUGUUACGAUGAUUUUCUACUUCACUCUGAAAUUAUAUGAACUUUUCAAAUGUUUCAGACUUCUGUUUCAUUAAGUAGAUAUACCCAUAUCUGCUCAAAUCAUCUGUGAAGGUCAGAAAAUAAUGAUACCUGCUACGAGCCUCAAUAUUCAUCGGGCCACAUACAUCUGUAUGUAUGAUUUCCAACAAAUCUGUUGCUCUCUCCAUAGUUCCGGAGAACGGCGUUUUAGUCAUCUUGCCCAUGAGGCACGGAUCGCAAGCAUCAAGUGAUUCAUAAUCAAGUGAUUCCAAAAUCCCAUCAGUAUGGAGUUUCUUCAUGCGCUUUACACCAAUAUGACCUAAACGGCAAUGCCACAAAUAAGUUGCACUAUCAUUAUUAACUUUGCAUCUUUUGGCUUCAAUAUUAUGAUUAUGUGUAUCACUACGAUCGAGAUCCAACAAACCAUUUUCGUUGGUGUGUAUGACCAUAGAAGGUUUUUAUUCAUGUAAACAGAACAACAAUUGUUCUCUAACUUAAAUGAAUAACAGUAUUGCAAUGAUCAAAUCAUUUUCAUGCUCAACGCAAACACCAAAUAACACUUAUUUAGUUUCAACACUAAUCCCGAAAGUACAGGGAGUGUGCGAUGAUGAUCAUAUCAAUCUUGGAACUACUUCCAACACACAUCGUCACCUCGCCUUUUACUAGUCUCUGUUUAUUCUGCAACUCCCGUUUCGAGUUACUACUCUUAGCAACUGAACCAGUAUCAAAUACCGAGGGGUUGCUAUAAACACUAGUAAAGUACACAUCAAUAACAUGUAUAUCCAAUAUACCUUUGUUCACUUUGCCAUCCUUCUUAUCCACCAAAUAGUUGGGGUAGCUCCGCUUCCAGUGACCAGUCCCUUUGCAGUAGAAGCACUUAGUCUCAGGCUUAGGACCAGACUUAGGCUUCUUCACUUGAGCAGCAACUUGCUUGCCGUUCUUCUUGAAGUUCCCCUUCUUCCCUUUGCCCUUUUCUUGAAACUAGUGGUCUCGUCAACCAUCAACACUUGAUGUUUUUCUUGAUUUCUACCUUCAUCGAUUUCAGCAUCACGAAGAGCUCGGGAAUUACUUUCGUCAUCCCUUGCAUACUAUAGUUCAUCACGAAGUUCUACUAACUUGGUGAUGGUGACUAGAGAAUUCUGUCAAUCACUAUUUUAUCUGGAAGAUUAACUCCCACUUGAUUCAAGCGAUUGUACCCAGACAAUCUGAGCACAUGCUCACUAGUUGAGCGAUUCUCCUCCAUCUUUUAGCUAUAGAACUUGUUGGAGACUUCAUAUCUCUCAACUCGGGUAUUUGCUUGAAAUAUUAACUUCAACUCCUGGAACAUCUCAUAUGGUUCAUGACGUUCAAAACGUCUUUGAAGUCCCGAUUCUAAGCCGUUAAGCAUGGUGCACUAAACUAUCAAGUAGUCAUCAUAUUGAGCUAGCCAAACGUUCAUAACGUCUGCAUCUGCUCCUGCAAUAGGUCUGUCACCUAGCGGUGCAUCAAGGACAUAAUUUUCUGUGCAGCAAUGAGGAUAAUCCUCAGAUCACGGAUCCAAUCCGCAUCUUUGCUACUAACAUCUUUCAACAUAAUUUUUCUCUAGGAACAUAUCAAAAAUAAACACAGGGAAGCAACAACGCGAGCUAUUGAUCUACAACAUAAUUUGCAAAAUACUAUCAGGACUAAGUUCAUGAUAAAUUUAAGUUCAAUUAAUCAUAUUACUUAAGAACUCCCACUUAGAUAGACAUCCCUCUAAUCCUCUAAGUGAUCACAUGAUCCAUAUCAAUUAAACCAUGUCCGAUCAUCACGUGAGAUGGAGUAGUUUCAAUGGUGAACUCACUAUGUUGAUCAUAUCUACUAUAUGAUUCACGCUCGACCUUUCGGUCUCCGUGUUCCGAGGCCAUAUCUGUUAUAUGCUAGGCUCGUCAAGUUUAACCUGAGUAUUCCGCGUGUGCAACUGUUUUGCACCCGUUGUAUUUGAACGUAGAGCCUAUCACACCCGAUCAUCACGUGGUGUCUCAGCACGAAGAACUUUUGCAACGGUGCAUACUCAGGGAGAACACUUUUAUCUUGAAAUUUUAGUGAGAGAUCAUCUUAUAAUGCUACCGUCAAUCAAAGCAAGAUAAGAUGCAUAAAAGAUUAACAUCACAUGCAAUCAAUAUAAGUGAUAUGAUAUGGCCAUCAUCAUCUUCUGCUUGUGAUCUCCAUCUCCGAAGCACCGUGCUCGUGAUCUCCAUCUCCGAGGCACCGUCAUGAUCACCAUCGUCACCGGCGCAACACCUUGAUCUCCAUCGUAGUAUCAUUGUCGUCUCGCCAACUUAUUGCUUUUACGACUAUCGCUACCGCUUAGUGAUAAAGUAAAACUAUUACAUGGCGAUUGCAUCUCAUACAAUAAAGUGACAACCAUAUGGCUCCUGCCAGUUGCCGAUAACUCGGUUACAAAACAUGAUCAUCUCAUACAACACAUUAUAUCACAUCAUGUCUUGACCAUAUCACCUCACAACAUGCCCUGCAAAAACAAGUUAGACGUCCUCUACUUUGUUGUUGCAAGUUUUUACGUGGCUGCUACGGGCUUAGCAAGAACCGUUCUUACCUACGCAUCAAAACCAUAAUGAUAGUUUGUCAAGUUGGUGCUGUUUUAACCUUCGCAAGGACCGGGCGUAGCCACACUCGGUUCAACUAAAGUGAGAGAGACAGACACCCGCCAGUCACCUUUAAGCAACGAGUGCUCCGAACGGUGAAACCAGUCUCGCGUAAGCGUACGCGUAAUGUCGGUCCGGGCCGCUUCAUCUCACAAUACCGCUGAACCAAAGUAUGACAUGCCGGUAAGCAGUAUGACUUAUAUCGCCCACAACUCACUUGUGUUCUACUCGUGCAUAGCAUCAACGCAUAAAACCAGGCUCGGAUGCCACUGUUGGGGAACGUAGUAAUUUCAAAAAUAUUCCUACGCACACGCAAGAUCAUGGUGAUGCAUAGGAACGAGAGGGGAGAGUGUUGUCCACGUACCCUCGUAGAUCGACAGCGGAAGCGUUAUCACAACGCGGUUGAUCUAGUCGUACGUCUUCACGAUCCGACCGAUCAAGUACCGAACGCACGGCACCUCCGAAGUUCUACACACGUUCAGCUCGAUGACGUCCCUCGAACUCCGAUCCAGCCAAGUGUUGAGGGAGAGUUUCGUCAGCACGAUGGCGUGGUGACGAUGAUGAUGUUCCACCGACACAGGGCUUCGCCUAAGCUCCGCGACGGUAUUAUCGAGGUGUAAUCUGGUGGAGGGGGGCACCGCACACGGCUAAAAUAUCGUAUAUCAAAGUGUGUAGAGAGGUGCCCCCUGCCCCCGUAUAUAAAGGAGCAAGGGAGGAGGAGGCCGGCCCUAGGAGGGGGCGCACCAAGUGUGGAGUCCUACUAGGACUCCCUAGUCCUAGUAGGAUUCCACCUCCCAUAUGGAAUAGGAAAAGAGGAAGGGAAAAAGAGAAGGAAGGAAGGGGGCGCCCCCCUUCCCUAGUCCAAUUCGGACCAGACCAAGGGGAGGGGUGCGGCCACCAUUGAGGCCCUUUUCCUUCUUUCCCGUAUGGCCCAAUAAGGCCCAAUACGUAUUCCCGUAACUCUCCGGUACUCCGAAAAAUACCCGAAUCAUUCGGAACCUUUCCGAAGUCGGAAUAUAGUCGUCCAAUAUAUUGAUCUUUACAUCUCGACCAUUUCUAGACUCCUCGUCAUGUCCCCGAUCUCAUCCGGGACUCCGAACUCCUUCGGUACAUCAACAUACAUAAACUCAUAAUAAAACUGUCAUCGUAACUUUAAGCGUGCGGACCCUUUGGGUUCGAGAACUAUGUAGACAUGACCGAGACACCUCUCCGGUCAAUAACCAAUAGCGGGACCUAGAUGCCCAUAUUGGCUCCCACAUAUUCUACGAAGAUCUUUAUCGGUCAGACCGCAUAACAACAUACGUUGUUCCCUUUGUCAUCGGUAUGUUACUUGCCCGAGAUUCGAUCGUCGGUAUCUCGAUACCUAGUUCAAUCUCGUUACCGGCAAGUCUCUUUACUCGUUCUGUAAUACAUCAUCCCGCAACUAACUCAUUAGUCACAAUGCUUGCAAGGCUUAUAGUGAUGUGCAUUACCGAGUGGGCCCAGAGAUACCUCUCCGACAAUCGGAGUGACAAAUCCUAAUCUCGAAAUACGCCAACCCAACAAGUACCUUUGGAGACACCUGUAGAGCACCUUUAUAAUCACCCAUUUACGUUGUGACGUUUGGUAGCACACAAAGUGUUCCUCCGGUAAAUGGGAGUUGCAUAAUCUCAUAGUCAUAGGAACAUGUAUAAGUCAUGAAGAAAGCAAUAGCAACAUACUAAACGAUCGGGUGCUAAGCUAACGUAAUGGGUCAUGUCAAUCACGUCAUUCUCCUAAUGAGGUGAUCCCGUUAAUCAAAUGACAACUCAUGUCUAUGGCUAGGAAACAUAACCAUCUUUGAUUAACGAGCUAGUCAAGUAGAGGCAUACUAGUGACACUCUAUUUGUCUAUGUAUUCACACAUGUAUUAUGUUUCCGGUUAAUACAAUUCUAGCAUGAAUAAUAAACAUUUAUCAUGAUAUAAGGAAAUAUAUAAUACUUUAUUAUUGCCUCUAGGGCAUAUUUCCUUCAUUUGCCGCCGCCCUUGUCUUGAAGGAUAAGAAGGUUCCAACGCCCUCCUUAGGGUUUCUCCCUUGUCUUGGGCCUUGUGGGCCCUAGUCAAGCCUGAGGCCGGGCUCCCUUGGGUGAGCCACCCCCGGUGUAUGACACUUUCAAGGAGGUUUUGCAAGCGAUAAAUACUUGCAUGAUCCCAUCUGGUUGGACUGAUACUGCGAUUGUGAUGAUCUCUAAGGUUAAUUUUCCAAAGAAGGUAACCUAAUUUAGGCCGGUCAGCUUGUGUAAUGUGGUAUAUAAAAUAAUUGCGAAGUUGGUUGCCUCUCGCUUUAAAGUUUUCCUACCUGAUAUUAUUAGGCCGACUCGGAGUGCUUUUGUCGUCAGCUCUUUCUUUGCCGUCAGUUUUCUAUAAGCUGAUGGCAAAGACCUUCUUUGCCGUCAGCUAGCACACAUCAAAGAACUGGCUGACGAUAAAAGAUCCUGAUUCCAAUAGUGCUGGUGGAUUGAUACGGAUAAUAUUUUAGUGUCUUACAUGUGCUUCCAUACAAUCAAGAACAAAAGAGAAAGUAAAGAGAGAUUGUGUGCUAUAAAACUAGAUAUUCACAAAGCUUAUGGCCAAGUUGAGUGGCCUUUUCUAAAGGAUAUUAUACCGAGUCUUGGUUUCCGUGAAAAUUGGGUAAAAUUUUAUAUGCAAUGCGUCUCAACAGUUGAAUGCCGAGUUUGGUUUAAUGCGGAGGAAAGUGGAUUUUAGAUGCCUAUAAAGGGUUUAAGGCACGGUGACCCAUUGUCACCUUACCUAUUCUUAUUGUUAACGGAGGGGAUGACUGCUCUUCUCAUACUCGCAGAGGAAAAUGAAAAUAUUUCAGGAGUGAAGUCUGUAGAAAUGUGUUGGGUAACGUAGUAAUUUCAAAAAAUUCCUACGCACACGCAAGAUCAUGGUGAUGCAUAGCAACGAGAGGGGAGAGUGUGUCCACGUACCCUCGUAGACCGAAAGCGGAAGCGUUAGCACAACGCGGUUGAUGUAGUCGUACGUCUUCACGAUCCGACCGAUCCAAGUACCGAACGUACGGCACCUCCGAGUUCAGCACACGUUCAGCUCGAUGACGUCCCUCGAACUCUGAUCCAGCCGAGCUUUGACGGAGAGUUCCGUCAGCACGACGGCGUGGUGACGAUGAUGAUGUUCUACCGACGCAGGGCUUCACCUAAGCACCGCUACGAUAUGAUCGAGGUGGAUUAUGGUGGAGGGGGGCACCGCACACGGCUAAGAGAUCAAUGAUCAAUUAUUGUGUCUCUGGGUGCCCCCCUGCCCCUGUAUAUAAAGGAGCAAGGGAGGAGAGGCGGCCGGCCAGGAGGGGGCGCGCCAGGAGGAGUCCUACUCCCCCUUCCUUGUUGGAUUAGGAGAAGGGGGAAGGAGGAGGGAGAGAGGAAGGAAAAGGGGGCGCCGCCCCCCCUCCUUGUCCAAUUCGGACUAGAGGGGGAGGGGGCGUGCGGCCUGCCCUGGCCGCCCCUCCUCUUCUCCACUAAGGCCCAUGUAGGCCCAUUAAACCCCCGGGGGGGUUCCGGUAACCUCCCGGUACUCCGGUAUAGACCGAUAACCCCCGGAACCAUUCCGGUGUCCGAAUAUAGUCGUCCAAUAUAUCAAUCUUCAUGUCUCGACCAUUUCGAGACUCCUCGUCAUGUCCGUGAUCACAUCCGGGACUUCGAACUAUCUUCCGUACAUCAAAACACAUAAACUCAUAAUAUAACCGUCAACAAACUUUAAGCGUGCGGACCCUACGGGUUCGAGAACUAUGUAGACAUGACCGAGACACGUCUCUUGUCAAUAACCAAUAGCAGAACCUGGAUGCUCAUACUGGCUCCCACAUAUUCUACGAAGAUAUUUAUCGGUCAAACCGCAUAACAACAUACGUUGUUCCCUUUGUCAUCGGUAUGUUACUUGCCCGAGAUUCGUUCAUCGGUAUCUCAAUACCUAGUUCAAUCUCGUUACCGACAAGUCUCUUUACUCGUUCUGUAAUACAUCAUCCCACAACUAACUCAUUAGUUGCAAUGCUUGCAAGGCUUAAGUGAUGUACAUUACCGAGUGGGCCCAGAGAUACCUCUCCGACAAUCGGAGUGACAAAUCCUAAUCUCGAAAUACGCCAACCCAACAAGUACCUUUGGAGACACCUGUAGAGCACCUUUAUAAUCACCCAGUUACGUUGUGACGUUUGGUAGCACACAAACUGUUCCUCCGGUAAACGGGAGUUGCAUAAUCUCAUAGUCAUAGGAACAUGUAUAAGUCAUGAAGAAAGCAAUAGCAACAUACUAAACGAUCGAGUGCUAAGCUAACGGAAUGGGUCAAGUCAAUCACAUCAUUCUCCUAAUGAUGUCAUCCCGUUAAUCAAAUGACAACUCAUGUCAAUGGCUAGGAAACAUAACCAUCUUUGAUCAACAAGCUAGUCAAGUAGAGGCAUACUAGUGACACUCUGUAUGUCUAUGUAUUCACACAAGUAUUAUGUUUCCAGUUAAUACAAUUCUAGCAUGAAUAAUAAACAUUUAUCAUGAUAUAAGGAAAUAAAUAAUAACUUUGUUAUUGCCUCUAGGGCAUAUUUCCUUCAGUCUCCCACUUGCACUAGAGUCAAUAAUCUAGAUUACACAGUAAUGAUUCUAACACCCAUGGAGCCUUGGUGCUGACCAUGUUUUGCUCGUGGAAGAGGCUUAGUCAAUGGGUCUGCAACAUUCAGAUCCGUAUGUAUCUUGCAAAUUUCUAUGUCUCCCACCUGGACUAGAUCCCAGAUGGAGUUGAAGCGUCUCUUGAUGUGCUUGGUUCUCUUGUGAAAUCUGGAUUCCUUUGCCAAGGCAAUUGCACCAGUAUUGUCACAAAAGAUUUUCAUUGGUCCCGAUGCACUAGGUAUGACACCUAGAUCGGAUAUGAACUUCUUCAUCCAGACUCCUUCAUUUGCUGCUUCCGAAGUAGCUAUGUACUCCGCUUCACACGUAGAUCCCGCCACAACGCUUUGUUUAGAACUGCACCAACUGACGGCUCCACCGUUCAAUGUAAACACGUAUCCGGUUUGCGGUUUAGAAUCGUCCGGAUCAGUGUCAAAGCUUGCAUCAAUGUAACCAUUUACGACUAGCUCUUUGUCACCUCCAUAAACGAGAAACAUAUCCUUAGUCCUUUUGAGGUAUUUCAGUAUGUUCAUGACUGCUGUCCAGUGAUCCACUCCUGGAUUACUUUGGUACCUCCCUGCUAUACUUAUAGCAAGGCACACAUCAGGUCUGGUACACAACAUUGCAUACAUGAUAGAGCCUAUGGCUGAAGCAUAGGGAACAUCUUUCAUCUUCUCUCUAUCUUCUGCAGUGGUCGGGCAUCGAGUCUUACUCAACUUCACACCUUGUAACACAGGCAAGAACCCUUUCUUUGCUUGAUCCAUUUUGAACUUCUUCAAAACCUUGUCAAGGUAUGUGCUUUGUGAAAGUCCAAUUAAGCGUCUUGAUCUAUCUCUGUAGAUCUUGAUUCCCAAUAUGUAAGCAGCUUCACCGAGGUCCUUCAUUGAAAAACUCUUAUUCAAGUAUCCCUUUAUGCUAUCCAGAAAUUCUAUAUCAUUUCCAAUCAACAAUAUGUCAUCCACAUAUAAUAUCAGAAAUGCUACAGAGCUCCCACUCACUUUCUUGUAAAUACAGGCUUCUCCAAAAGUCUGUAUAAAACAAAAUGCUUUGAUCACACUAUCAAAGCAUUUAUUCCAACUCCGAGAGGCUUGCACCAGUCCAUCAAUGGAUCGCUGGAGCUUGCACACUUUGUUAGCUCCCUUUGGAUCGACAAAACCUUCCGGUUGCAUCAUAUACAACUCUUCUUCUAGAAAUCCAUUCAGGAAUGCAGCUUUGACAUCCAUUUGCCAAAUUUCAUAAUCAUAAAAUGCGGCAAUUGCUAACAUGAUCCGGACAGACUUAAGCAUCGCUACGGGUGAGAAAGUCUCAUCGUAGUUAAUCCCUUGAACUUUUCGAAAACCUUUUGCAACAAGUCGAGCUUUAUAGACAGUAACAUUACCGUCAGCGUCAGUCUUCUUCUUGAAAAUCCAUUUAUUCUCAAUGGCUUGCCGAUCAUCGGGCAAGUCUACCAAAGUCCACACUUUGUUCUCAUACAUGGAUCCCAUCUCAGAUUUCAUGGCCUCAAGCCAUUUUGCGGAAUCUGGGCUUACCAUCGCUUCUUCAUAGUUCGUAGGUUCGUCAUGGUCUAGUAACAUAACUUCUAGAACAGGAUUACCGUACCACUCUGGUGCGGAUCUUACUCUGGUUGAUCUACGAGGUUCAGUAACAACUUGAUCUGAAGUUUCAUGAUUAUCAUCAUUAACUUCCUCACUAAUUGGUGUAGACAUCACAGGAACCGGUUUCUGUGAUGAACUACUUUCCAAUAAGGGAGCAGGUACUGUUACCUCAUCAAGUUCUACUUUCCUCCCACUCACUUCUUUCGAGAGAAACUCCUUCUCUAGAAAGGAUCCAUUCUUAGCAACGAAUGUCUUGCCUUCGGAUCUGUGAUAGAAGGUGUACCCAACAGUUUCCUUUGGGUAUCCUAUGAAGACAUAUUUCUCCGAUUUGGGUUCGAGCUUAUCAGGUUGAAGCUUUUUCACAUAAGCAUCGCAGCCCCAAACUUUAAGAAACGACAACUUUGGUUUCUUGCCAAACCACAGUUCAUAAGGCGUCGUCUCAAUGAAUUUCGGGUGGCGUGAGUUGCGAAACUAUUCCGCAUUGUUUCAAAUGUAGACCAAACUCGUAACUCAAAUAUUCUCCUCCACGAUCAGAUCGUAGAAACUUUAUUUUCUUGUUAUGAUGAUUUUCCACUUCACUCUGAAAUUCUUUGAACUUUUCAAAUGUUUCAGACUUAUGUUUCAUUAAGUAGAUAUACCCAUAUCUGCUUAAAUCAUCUGUGAAGGUGAGAAAAUAACGAUACCCGCCGCGAGCCUCAACAUUCAUUGGACCACAUACAUCUGUAUGUAUGAUUUUCAACAAAUAUGUUGCUCGCUCCAUAGUUUUGGAGAACGACGUUUUAGUCAUCUUGCCCAUGAGGCACGGUUCGCAAGUACCAAGUGAUUCAUAAUCAAGUGGUUCCAAAAGUCCAUCAGUAUGGAGUUUCUUCAUGCGCUUUACACCAAUAUGACCUAAACGAUAGUGCCACAAAUAAGUUGCACUAUCAUUAUCAACUCUGCAUCUUUUGGCUUCAAUAUUAUGAAUAUGUGUAUCACUACUAUCGAGAUUCAACAAAAAUAGACCACUCUUCAAGGGUGCAUGACCAUAAAAGAUAUUACUCAUAUAAAUAGAACAACCAUUAUUCUCUGAUUUAAAUGAAUAACCGUCUCACAUCAAACAAGAUCAAGAUAUAAUGUUCAUGCUCAACGCUGGCACCAAAUAACAAUUAUUCAGGUCUAAAACUAAUCCCGAAGGUAUAUGUAGAGGUAGCGUGCCGACCGCGAUCACAUCGACUUUGGAACCAUUUCCCACGCGCAUCGUCACCUCGUCCUUAGCCAAUCUUCGCUUAAUCCGUAGUCCCUGUUUCGAGUUGCAAAUAUUAGGAACAGAACCAGCAUCAAAUACCCAGGUGCUACUGCGAGCAUUAGUAAGGUACACAUCAAUAACAUGUAUAUCACAUAUACCUUUGUUCACCUUGUCAUCCUUCUUAUCCGCCAAAUACUUGGGGCAGUUCCCCUUCCAGUGACCAGUCUGCUUGCAGUAGAAGCACUCAGUCUCAGGCUUAGGUCCAGACUUAGGUUUCUUCUCUUGAGCAGCAACUUGUUUGCUGUUCUUCUUGAAGUUCCCCUUCUUCUUCCCUUUGCCCUUUUUCUUGAAACUGGUGGUCUUGUUGACCAUCAACACUUGAUGCUCCUUCUUGAUUUCUACCUCCGUAGCCUUUAGCAUUGUGAAGAGCUCGGGAAUCGUCUUAUCCAUCCCUUGCAUGUUAUAGUUCAUCACGAAGGUCUUGUAGCUUGGUGGCAGUGAUUGAAGAAUUCUGUCAAUGACGCUGUCAUCCGGAAGAUUAACUCCCAGUUGAAUCAAGUGAUUGUUAUAUCCAGACAUUCUGAGUAUAUGCUCACUGACAGAACUAUUCUCAUCUAUCUUACAGCUGUAGAACUUAUUGGAGACUUCAUAUCUCUCAAUCCGGGCAUUUGCUUGAAAUAUUAACUUCAACUCCUGGAACAUCUCAUAUGCUCCAUGACAUUCAAAACGUCGUUGAAGUCCCGGUUCUAAGUCGUAAAGCAUGGCACACUGAACUAUCGAGUAGUCAUCAGCUUUGGUCUGCCAGACGUUCAUAACAUCUGGUGUUGCUCAGUUUUUGUAGUACAUAUAUUGAAAUUCAGAAGUUUAAUCUUUGAAUUAUGAACAUAGGAAAUGUCUGAUGACGACGAUAGGAUCCCAGAGUGCAACUACUGCGGCGACGACCGGGGUCUAUGCGACAGGACUCACCUGCAAGACGGUUGACGCUUCAGUAUUAAGCUCGACGAGACCUUCGGUGUUGAAACGGUACGCAACGAUGACAAGUUUUUUUUCGUAAUUAAGCAUGACUGUUUUGCACCCGUGGAUCCGCCGGACAAAUUGUCGAAGCAGAGGCCGCAGGCCAGGUGGUUGUGGAAGAAUCCGGAGAGGGCCUGCGACGCCGUCUUGAUUAUUUUGGGGUCGGAGCAGAGCUUGAGCCACUGCUUGGACACGCACUUCAAGCGGCAGAGCGACCAGUACAACAGCCGUGCCAGGAUCUCAACGAGGGGGCCCUCAGAGACGAUCGCCGCCCACGGCGGCUGCCUCUGCUUCCUCCUCUUCUACAAACGGAACAAAGAAAGAUUAAUUAGGCUCCCAGCCGAUUCCGUUCCAUGGACCCGAGAAAGAUUGAUUGGAAGAUGAGGUGUGGAGCACUGGAGCAGACUUGAGAAGCUACGGCGGGGAACGGCGGCGCAGGACGGGACUCGUCGCGGCGGCGGAUCGCCGGCGGGUGGCUCUGCUCCUUCCCCGUGCAGUCAUGCUUGCUUGUUUCUCCACCCCCUGGUGGCAUCGUGGAUCAGUGCCUGGAGGCCCUCGUGGGAGCAAGUUCCGGAGCUCGCCGGAACUCUAGCUAGGGUUUGGAAACCGGAAGGGCAAGAGCGGCGGCCGCGGCUUGAUGGCCUUACGAUUCUUCCAGAAUUCCCCCGAGAUAACCGCAUGUAUAUCUGGAAAAGUGAUUUUUUCAAUAAAUAAACUACCUUUUUUAAAAAAAUUGCCAGAUCUAAUAUAAAGAUUAACAGAAAGUGCAAUACUCCUCAAACAUAAUAAAAUUUACAUCGAGGUCCAUGGACCACCAAACAACCAUGGCCGCCGCUAGAAGAAGCCGUUGUCGCCGCUCUGACAUUGUCGAUGACAACCGGGAAGUCUUCGUGCACGUACCACUAAGGACCAGCGUCCCGGAGCCGCAGUCGUCGUCGUUGAAUCCUUGAAUCGAUUUGAAGAAUUUGACACCAAAUAUCGACGCUGCAUAUGCACAGCGAGAAACCCUAACCUCGCCGAGCUCGCAGGAAUCUGCGCCAGAGCUCCAUCAAUUCAUCCUAACGGACAAACUUGAGAAGGAUCGAAGUCCGGAAGACUGACUCGAAGAAGAAACAUGGCCAUUCGUCCAAAUGUCGCCCCUACGAGCUCUAAAACCCUACCUAUCUACUAGCAUGAGCCGAGGCACCAGAAAUAUCCUCCUCGCCACCGGCCGCCAGAGCUGCGGGCGGAGGGGAGGUGAAUUCAUGAGCUCGCCGGCGGAGAUCCAGGGGAAGAAGAUUUUUUUUCUAGUCGCCUUGCGAGAGGGAAAAAAUAAAUAAGCUACCUUAAUUGGAUGUGUAAAGUACCACGUUUCGUCUCUCCAAAAUCUUUUGCCCACCCAUUUUCCUGAAACUAAUUUUCUUUGUCCAUUUGCAACCUUCAACAAAAAAUAAAUCAUAGAUGUAGCGUGCCAAACAAUUUAACGUUAAGUUUUGAAUGACAAACAAUUCAACAAGUUUCAUCACUGAAUGCAACAGACUGAACGAAUCAAAGUUAGCCGACGUUUUCAUGACGCGCAUUGAUGUUGCUAUGCAUCGUGUGAAACCACUUCUUGGCGUCGGCAUCGGAAGACUUGGUUCGGACUAUCAAAUAUAGACAAGCGGGGGAAGAGUGGGGGACACCCUACCACCCAACAAGAGACUGCUGCUGACCUAAAAGAAAAGCGACCGAUAAUAAAAGUAUUUAAAUCUGGGUGUCUAUUUUAUUGUCCAUUUGGGACUCGCGUCUGACUCCCGGCUCGUUCUCGAGCGACCUCGGUGGACCCGCCACCACCUACCUCCCGCUGCCCCAUGCCCUUGUUGUUGUUAGAUGUUAAGCCCUACAUGAUGGAUGAUGGUUGCAUGCUCAUGCUCGACGUGCUCACUCGCCUGUGCUCUUCCUCCCCCUUCACAAAAUGGUUGCUUUGAUAUCCCAUCGAACCGCAACAAUUACCUAGCAAGAUCUGCAUGGGACAUCACUGUCGGAGUUAAAUCCGGCUGAUCUGUAGGUAAGGGAUCCUAAACUAGGCGUCUUGGGAUGAUGGUAACAGAGACACAUGAUUUACCCAGGUUCAGUCUCUCCGAAGAGAUAAAAGUCUAGUUCUGCUUGUGUUAUAUUGCAUUAGAGUGUGUACAAAGUACGUGUAAACUAACAAGAGAUUGUAUGAUGAGAUGUAGAUUGCCCUCUAUCGACUAGCCCGAUCCCAGCUUAUAUGAGAUACCGAAUGCCUAGGAUUACAAGAGUCCUCGGUUGCGUCAGUGGAGAGGAGUCCUCCAUGGAUACGGAGUCCUUGUCUUGAACGUCAGGGCUUCCAUUAUCUUCUUCGUAGAGCGUCAUGAGCCGACCAAAGUGGCCCAAAACGGAACCAACCUAGAGGUCCUCAGCCCGGCCCACAAAGCCGGAAACCGACAUGGCGAGAGACCCCUGGGUCGGGACACCGUCAGCAUGGAGAGGAACGGUCUAGCUCGCAGAGGGGAUUAGGAUCCCCAUGGUGUAGAUGAAUGAGGAUGGCGGCCUGCUUUCACCCGUGACGAGCGAGAGAGAGAAUGAGAGGUCGCCCCGGCAGACUGGCGGGGCUUUGUAGAGGCGUCGAGCCAACGGGCCAGCCCCGGUAGCCAACUCCACGAGGCCAAAAAAAACAGCAGAAAUGAUGCGCCCUGGGUUCAAACUCGCAACGCUGGCUCGUCAGUGCGUAAACCAAGCCGAUGGAGCUAAACACCUUUUAUGAAUAGUAAGCAGCGCAAACUUUUAAGUAGUUAGACUCACAUAAAAUUCCUAAAAAAGAUGGGCUCCGUCAGCAUGGAGAGGAACGGUCUAGCUCGCAGAGGGGAUUAGGAUCCCCAUGGUGUAGAUGAAUGAGGAUGGCGGCCUGCUUUCACCCGUGGCGAGCGGGAGAGAGAAUGAGAGGUCGCCCCGGCAGACUGGCGGGGCUUUGUAGAGGCGCCGAGCCAACGGGCCUGCCCCGGUAGCCAACUCCGCGAGGCCAAAAAAAACCCAGCAGAAAUGAUGCGCCCUGGGUUCAAACUCGUGACGCUGACUCGUCAGUGCGUAAACCAAGCCGCUGGAGCUAAACACCUUUUAUGAAUAGUAAGCAGCGCAAACUUUUAAGUAGUUAGACUCACAUAAAUUUCCUAAAAAAGAUGGGCUCACAAGGAUUCAAACACGGCACCUCUUGGAAGUAAGCAGUGGUACAUAACCACUGGAAUACAUAAUUUUGAUGUUUCAAAGUUGCAACGCGGCUUAUAAUAACUGUGAAAGGCGACAAAUCAAUUUUUUUGAGAAUUUCGAAUGUGUUUUUAUUUAGGAAAGCAAAUAAUUAUUGAAACAAAAACACUUCAAAAUUGUGAAAAAAUUUACAACUUGGAAAAUUGUUUGAAACGCGAACAUUUUAUGGAAAAGUGCAACGUCUUUCAAUCUUGAACAAGUUUUAGAAAAAGGGAGGAAUUUUCAAACAAUUUUGGAAACUCUGAAAAAAAAUUAAAAGCAAACAAUUUUUGCACAUGUGAACAGUUUUAGAAACUGUGAACAAAAUUAGAGAAAGGCAAACGAAUUCAAUAUCAUGAACAGUUUUUUGAACUUGUGAACAAAAUUUGAAAAACCAGGAACAUUUGUGAACUUUUGAACAAUUUUAGAAACCCUGAACAAAAUUUAGAACGAUAUUUUUGAAACUUAAGGAUUUUUUUAAUUGCUAAAAAAAUUCAUUUAUGAGCAAAAUUGUAAAGACAAAAAAAAAUUGAACUUAGAAAAAUUGAAACCCAGAACUAAAUUAGGGAAAAGCAAACAUUUUUUCAAAUAUGUGUACAAUUUUAUUAAAAUAAAGAACAUGUUUUUUUUGUUGUUGAACAAAAAUUAAAAGGAACAUUUUUUAAACUUCUGAACGUUUUUUGAAAAGCGUGAACAUUUUUUAAAUUUAAGUACAAUUUGAAAACGAGAACAUGUUGUGGAGUUUUGAAAAAUUAUGAGCAACACAAAUACUUCUUUUUUGGAAAAAAAAAAGAGAAAACUUGACAAAAUGAAAAUGAAAAUGGAAGGAAAAAAAAGGGGAAAAGUGGGAAAAUGAAAAAGAAAACAGGUCGGGGAAUCUCCUUGAAGGUUCCAUAAGCGGAAAACCCCGGCUGCGAACCACCUAGAAACUUACCAAAACCAGGAGCGCUGAAACCUAUAACGGGCCGGCCCAUCCCGAAUGCUCGUUGAUCUUCCCUUUGCGUCGCUCCGCAACUUGCCGCAGCGAGCGGCAAAUAGGAAAACACCCCACAACGACGGAUCGACUGGACUCAUUCGCGCAACGGACUGUAGUUAGCAAAUUGGUAACUGGGCUGAGAGAAAAGGCCCAAAUAACUAGAGGGCUCAGUUUUUUCUUCUGGAGUAGCUGCCACAGUUGGCCCAUAAAAAAACUGCGUUAAAGAACAAAACUGACAGCACAUCUAGCGGCCAGAUCACGUGAACGGACGGUCAUGAGGGACUGGGUUUAGGUUCGGUUUUACUGUCCUAAAUUCCUAUAUAUUGUUGCACGCCCUGACACACCAUGAUGUUUAAAUUUUUUAGAAUGCAACAAAUUUGCCCACAAUGUAAGAACUUGGUAUUUCGAAUGUCAUGGAGUUCUUGAUUCACUUUUAAUUACUGUUUUAAAACCUAAAAUUAGAACUAAACAUUUCAAACAAAUGCCAAGAAAAAGGAACAAAGAAAUAUUGUUCUAAUGGCUUGCAAUGGGUGCGUUCCUGGGAAGGAUAAAAAAGAGCAAUGCCCCUGGCCAAUUUUCUCUGCUCCUCUUCUCUCCCAUCUCCUCUCCAUCUCAGUUCAACAAUCAAUAUGAAGCCAUGAACAACAACACUCAAACAAGAUGAAACCGCAGCAACAGUAAGAAGCAAUCAACCACAAAACUACAUACAUUUACUCUGCUAAUGUUCAGCGUGAAUUUGGAAGAACAAAGAAAAGACCGUCUGUCUGUGGAAUCAAGCACACCGAAUGAAUCGUGCUACGCUAGGAAAAACGAGAGCAAAACAAACCGAAAAACGACUAAGCAGCUCCAAAUCGCAGCUCUAUACACACCACGUACGUCACCGGCGGCUCGACUCAGCUCAGGCUUCAC